UACGGAGGGUGCAAGCGUUGUCCGGAUUUAUUGGGUUUAAAGGGUGCGUAGGUGGCCCCGCAAGUCCGUGGUGAAAGCCUCUUGCCCAACAAGAGAACUGCCAUGGAUACUACGGGGCUUGAGUCCAGGCGAGGUUGGCGGAAUGGAUGGUGUAGCGGUGAAAUGCAUAGAUACCAUCCAGAACCCCGAUUGCGUAGGCAGCUGACUAGGCUGGUACUGACACUGAGGCACGAAAGCGUGGGGAGCGAACAGG
This 253-nucleotide ribosomal RNA is filed under the name uncultured bacterium. Its description in RNAcentral is "partial 16S ribosomal RNA". It matches the Rfam family "Bacterial small subunit ribosomal RNA", at positions 524 to 776 of the family's 1533-position model. The record is from RNAcentral.